This 74-nucleotide transfer RNA is filed under the name Podarcis lilfordi (Lilford's wall lizard). It matches the Rfam family "tRNA". Rfam says of the family: Transfer RNA (tRNA) molecules are approximately 80 nucleotides in length. The record is from Rfam by way of RNAcentral. Lineage: Eukaryota; Metazoa; Chordata; Lepidosauria; Squamata; Lacertidae.
ACUCCUGUGGUGCAAUGGGUCAGUUUGCCUGGCUGUUAACCAGAAGGUUGGUGGUUCGAACCCACCCAGGAACA